Molecule: non-coding RNA, 1727 nt
Organism: Danio rerio (zebrafish)
Lineage: Eukaryota; Metazoa; Chordata; Actinopteri; Cypriniformes; Danionidae
Source: RefSeq, a predicted model, not a curated record
UAGGGGAGCGUAAGUGCGAAUGUGCAAAUAUAAAACCAACUUUACUUCUAUCAACAGCAGCUGGAUCCUCCGACAGGCUCCAAACCUCACCGAGGAAAAGCAGCUGAACCUCACCGUCCCGCUGGACAGCAAAGGACAGUAUGAGAGCUGUAGGAUGUUCACACCUGUAGAGAUGGAUAUUGAGGAUAUUGAACAUUAUGGAAUAAACACAACUACAUCUUGUAUUGAUGGAUGGGUUUAUAAGACACCGAAAAGCAGCAGCAGCACACUUAUAACUGAGUUUGACCUGGUGUGUGAAAAUAAGGUUUAUAGUGAGGCCUCUCAGUCCAUCUACAUGGCUGGUCUUCUUGUUGGAGCCCUAUUGUUUGGUCCAAUGGCAGACAAGUAUGGCCGGCGGUUUGCCACACUGCUGUCCUUGCUCCUGCUGUUUUUGUCUGGAGUGGGAGUUGCAUUUUCCCCUAACAUCUAUGUCUACAUGGUCCUUCGUUUUGUUGUUGGCACCACAAUAUCUGGGAUCUCUAUCAACACAUUUGUUCUGGGUACUGAGUGGUGUGGUUCAGCCAAACGGGCCCUUUUCACCAUAUUAUCGCACUGCUUUAUUGCCCUUGGUCAAAUGUUGCUGUCUGGGGUGGCCUAUGGGAUUUGAAACUGGAGGGUUUUACAACUGGUUUUAUCAGCGCCAGUUGGGCUUUUCUUUGUCUAUUACUGGAUUCUCCCUGAGUCUGCGAGAUGGCUUCUGACUCAAGGCAAACUAGACAGUGCCAAGAAAGAGAUCCUCAAAGCUGCCCGAAUUAAUGGCAGGAAGGUGUCUAUAAAUCUGCUUGACAAGAUGGAAGCAGAGAACACAGCCAAAUCAAGCACCAUGAUAGACCUGUUCCGAGUGGCUUACCUGAGAAAGAGAGCUCUCAUCAUGUGCUAUAUGUGGUUUGUGACAUCACUAGUUUACUAUGGUGUCAGCUUGAAUGUGGGGAACUUCGGCCUGGACAUUUACCUGACUCAACUCAUCUUUGGCAUGGCAGAGUUUCCUGCACGGCUGUCCUGCUUUCCUCUCAUUCAGCGCUUUGGACGGAGAAUUUGCCAGAGUGUCUUUCUGCUACUUGGAGGCACAGCCUGCCUGAUUAUUCCUGCUAUUCCAGCGAAAUAUCCUAUAAUUGUGACUGUAACCGCAGUGUUUGGGAAGUUUUCAAUUUCUGCGGCCUUCUCCAUUGUAUACGUGUACACCGCUGAGCUCUACCCAACAGUUGUGAGGCAGAAUGGGGUGGGCCUGAACUCCAUGUGUGCCCGUGUGGCUGGUAUUCUGGCUCCUCUGAUUGGCUUGUUGGACGUUUAUCAUCAUGCCAUUCCUAUGAUCAUAUACGGCUCGCUGCCUUUUGUUGGAGGAGCUCUGACCUUCCUGCUUCCAGAAACACUGAACACUGACCUGCAGGACCACACAGAUAUCCCUGCGGAUGAGAGCAUGGGAUUAAAUAAAGCCAGCAUUGAAAAAGGACUGAAUAAGGAGCAAGGACUGGUUCUCAAGAGCACAAAAUUUUGAGAUUUGUACUGCUGUUUGAAACAAUAGCUGUUUAUGAAAUUGAUAGAUUUUAUAAAUAAGUAAACUUGGUUUAUUUAUCAGGUUUACUUUUCUUGCUGCAUCAUGUUUGUAAAGUUUUAGUAAUUUAAAAUAAAUUUGUACUUUUUUAUCUUUUCAAUGAAAGAAAGUAAACAUCUGUGAUAUAUUUAUGAUA